CAGACGGUCGCGUGCCUUUGGCAUGAGGAAAGUCCGGGCUGCACAGGGCAAGGAUAACGGAUAACGUCCGCCGGGGGCGACCCCAGGAAUAGUGCAACAGAGAUAUACCGCCUUUUCCGGCUUCGUGCCGGAGGGGUAAGGGUGGAAAGGCGAGGUAAGAGCUCACCGCGCCCCAUGGCAACAUGGGGGGCCUGUAAACUCUAUCCGCAGCAACGCCGACAGGGACCAUGGGCGGCCCGUCCGUCCCGACUGGCGGCUUGAGGCGCGCGGCGACGCGCGUCCCAGAUAGAUGACCGUCCAACGACAGAACCCGGCUUACCGCA
RNAcentral lists this RNase P RNA (323 nucleotides) under uncultured Agathobaculum sp. RNAcentral's name for it is "Bacterial RNase P class A". It matches the Rfam family "Bacterial RNase P class A". Rfam says of the family: Ribonuclease P (RNase P) is a ubiquitous endoribonuclease, found in archaea, bacteria and eukarya as well as chloroplasts and mitochondria. Its best characterised activity is the generation of mature 5'-ends of tRNAs by cleaving the 5'-leader elements of precursor-tRNAs. Lineage: Bacteria; Bacillati; Bacillota; Clostridia; Eubacteriales; Butyricicoccaceae. The record is from RNAcentral.